GACGAACGCUGGCGGCGUGCUUAACACAUGCAAGUCGAACGGAAAGGCCCUGCUUGCAGGGUCCUCGAGUGGCGAACGGGUGAGUAACACGUGGGUGAUCUGCCCUGCACUUCGGGAUAAGCUUGGGAAACUGGGUCUAAUACCGGAUAGGACCGCACUUUAGUGUGUGUGGUGGAAAGUUUUUUCGGUGUAGGAUGAGCUCGCGGCCUAUCAGCUUGUUGGUGGGGUAAUGGCCUACCAAGGCGGCGACGGGUAGCCGGCCUGAGAGGGUGUACGGCCACAUUGGGACUGAGAUACGGCCCAGACUCCUACGGGAGGCAGCAGUGGGGAAUAUUGCACAAUGGGCGCAAGCCUGAUGCAGCGACGCCGCGUGGGGGAUGAAGGCCUUCGGGUUGUAAACUCCUUUCGCUAGGGACGAAGCUUUGUUGUGACGGUACCUAGAGAAGAAGCACCGGCUAACUACGUG
RNAcentral lists this ribosomal RNA (466 nucleotides) under uncultured bacterium. RNAcentral's name for it is "partial 16S ribosomal RNA". It matches the Rfam family "Bacterial small subunit ribosomal RNA", at positions 28 to 507 of the family's 1533-position model. The record is from RNAcentral.